Long non-coding RNA from Coffea eugenioides, 252 nucleotides. RefSeq lists it as uncharacterized. The record is from RefSeq and is a predicted model, not a curated record. Lineage: Eukaryota; Viridiplantae; Streptophyta; Magnoliopsida; Gentianales; Rubiaceae. The transcript has 3 exons.
AAAGAGGAUAGGGUGCUUGUUUUUCUUUCUUGAAAAAUAAAUGUACCUGAUAAAUCAAUAGCCUAUCUGAUGCCACUGGCUAUGAGAUUUGAAGCAAUACUGAAUUCUUGAAGCUAGGAGGGAGUGUUAAAGAUAGAGUGGCAACGAAGAUUAUCGAAGAGUACCACUCCAUGUAUUCAUCCUCUAGUGGUUUGGAGAAAUGGGUUGUAAAGAUUGAGCAACCCAUAGACAUCUUUCUCACGAUACCCAUUG